RNAcentral lists this ribosomal RNA (301 nucleotides) under uncultured bacterium. RNAcentral describes it as "partial 16S ribosomal RNA". It matches the Rfam family "Bacterial small subunit ribosomal RNA", at positions 509 to 808 of the family's 1533-position model. The record is from RNAcentral.
CAGUAGCCACGGUAAUACGUAGGGUGCAAGCGUUAAUCGGAAUUACUGGGCGUAAAGCGUGCGCAGGCGGUUUGUUAAGACAGAUGUGAAAUCCCCGGGCUCAACCUGGGAACUGCAUUUGUGACUGGCAAGCUAGAGUGUGGCAGAGGGGGGUGGAAUUCCGCGUGUAGCAGUGAAAUGCGUAGAUAUGCGGAGGAACACCGAUGGCGAAGGCAGCCCCCCUGGGCCAACACUGACGCUCAUGCACGAAAGCGUGGGGAGCAAACAGGAUUAGAUACCCGCGUAGUCCCUGUCUCUUAUA